GGUUAAGAAUGCAUAGAGACAGAAUGGUGUCCAUGAGCAGCAAUUAUGUCAUAGGAACUCAAGUUGUGUAACACUUCACACUUGAACAAAAUACUUCGCAAGGAGAACACGGUGACCUUAUUUGACAGCUGCUGGAUUCUGAUGGAAUUUGCGGAUAACUAC
This 162-nucleotide long non-coding RNA is filed under the name Cricetulus griseus (Chinese hamster). RNAcentral describes it as "lncRNA (ENSCGRG00000025951.1)". The record is from RNAcentral. Lineage: Eukaryota; Metazoa; Chordata; Mammalia; Rodentia; Cricetidae.